RNAcentral lists this ribosomal RNA (460 nucleotides) under uncultured bacterium. RNAcentral describes it as "partial 16S ribosomal RNA". It matches the Rfam family "Bacterial small subunit ribosomal RNA", at positions 338 to 795 of the family's 1533-position model. The record is from RNAcentral.
CCUACGGGUGGCAGCAGUGAGGAAUAUUGGUCAAUGGGCGCGAGCCUGAACCAGCCAAGUAGCGUGAAGGAUGACCGCCCUCUGGGUUGUAAACUUCUUUUAUAAAGGAAUAAAGUGAGGCACGUGUGCUUUAUUGCAUGUACUUUAUGAAUAAGGAUCGGCUAACUCCGUGCCAGCAGCCGCGGUAAUACGGAGGAUCCGAGCGUUAUCCGGAUUUAUUGGGUUUAAAGGGAGCGUAGAUGGGUUGUUAAGUCAGUUGUGAAAGUUUGCGGCUCAACCGUAAAAUUGCAAUUGAUACUGGCAGCCUUGAGUACAGUUGAGGUAGGCGGAAUUCGUGGUGUAGCAGUGAAAUGCUUAGAUAUCACGAAGAACCCCGAUUGCGAAGGCAGAUUACUAAACUGCGACUGACAUUGAUGCUCGAAAGUGUGGGUAUCAAACAGGAUUAGAUACCCCUGUAGUC